CAUGCACACAAGCAUACAUACGUUUCUAAGAACUCGUAGGAGAUACAAAGCACAAUCAUAUUGUGUUAGUGUAAAUACUCUAACACAUACAUAGAUAAAGUGUCUGUUGGAUAUCCCCAAGCAAUCCCAACGAGGGAGAAUAUACAUAUAUGGCCAAAAAUCUUGGUUAAAAUGUUAGCAUCCGCCACGAUCAGAUGAUGCACUUCUGCGCUGGGAUACCCAUGUCAUGCAGGUUAACACGCAAAGUGUAACAGCGAUAAUGUUUGAGAUAAUUGUGGUAAAAUUUAACAGAUGCGUCUGACCCAGCAACAGAAAUUCCACAUUGGCCUCAAGCUUAGGUCAUUAUGCCCCUUAAUGCCUACGUUGUUUA
Drosophila montana is the source of this 370-nucleotide long non-coding RNA. RefSeq lists it as uncharacterized. NCBI's taxonomy places the organism in Eukaryota, Metazoa, Arthropoda, Insecta, Diptera, Drosophilidae. The transcript has 3 exons. The record is from RefSeq and is a predicted model, not a curated record.